This 1425-nucleotide long non-coding RNA is filed under the name Corvus moneduloides (New Caledonian crow). RNAcentral describes it as "lncRNA (ENSCMUG00000019033.1)". Lineage: Eukaryota; Metazoa; Chordata; Aves; Passeriformes; Corvidae. The record is from RNAcentral.
CCAUCACCUCCCGCCCCCCCCCCCCCCCGCCCUCCACCAUGGGGCUGGGCUGUUUAAAACCCUCGGUCAGUCUCCUCCUCCCUCCUUCCCCCCCCCCCGCCCGCUCCUUCCAACACCCCCCGGGGGAGCAGGGGGAGAUGCUGCCGGGAUGCGGGAUGCGGGAUGCGGCGGCGGCCGGACCGGGACCCCCCCGGGCGGGGAGAUAAGGAGAUUCCCCCGGCUGAACCCCUCCGCUGGGCUGAAUUUAGCAGCAGAAGAGAUAACCGGCAGAUAAGGACUGAUACCCUGGGAGGACAGCGGGAGACGGGCAGGCGGCCGAGGAAAAGGAGAGAAGCCGGAGGCAGCGUUGGGAAGGGCUGCCUAUCCAGAUGUGCCGGGUUCGGGACGCUCAUCUUCCCUUCCUUUGCAAAAUCCCUGACGGUUCUCUUUUCCAAAGCAGCGAUUUCCUAAAGAUUCGUUGAAUUCCUGCUGAAAAUCAGCGCUUUCCUUAAAAAAAAAAAAAAAAAAAAAAAAAGGCAAAAAAAGCAAAAAUGCAAUUUAAACUGAUUAAACCCGGCCAAGAAGCAAUACUUGGAGCAGAGAAGAUUUCAAGGACCUGUUUUGGCUUUGCUACUUCCAGGAAAAAACGUACAAAAGCAAUUCCCGUGGAUUGUGGCCGGAUCCAGCCUCUUUCUGCGGGGAAUUGUCGGUCGGUGGAGCCGGGAAUCGCCGGGACGCGCAUCCCGAAAAUCGGAGAGUUAAGGAACCGCGCUGAGCCCAGCCUGGCGUGACCCAACAGCCGGGAAGGACAGGAUGGAUUUCGGACACAAUUUCUCCCGGAAAAAGCAGAUGGGACACAGCAAAGCGCAGCGACAAAAAAAAAGCCCAAACCAAACCCAAAACUCUGUUCUGUACUCGGUGGAGCUUUUUUUCCCUUGCGAUUAACGAAAUCUGGCUGAAAAUAACCCAGGGGAACAAACUUUGGCCUGGUCUCUCUCCUUUCCAGCCCCCACUUCUGCCCCAAGCAGGAAAAAAAUCGAUUCGAUGCCUAUUUUAAAAGUUUUUUUUCGUUUUGCUUUUUUUCCUUGUAUCGAACUUCCGCGGCGGUUUUAGAGUUAAAGCUCCGGGUGCUGGUGGAUGCAAAAAAACCCCAAGAAGCCACACAAAAAACAAACCUAAAACCCCACCCAAAGCCACUUUAGGAACUGGGAGAGCGGAGGAGAAGAGGGGAGAAAGUUAAUUUAAAUUUUUCUCUGUGCUGAAAAUUUUUUUAAAAAUCACGAAAAAAAUGGUUAAAAAGAGGGGGGAAAAUCAGCGGGGAAAAUGCGGUUUUAGCAGAGCAAAAGGGAUAAAUGCGGCCGGCAGCUGCUGUGUAUUGGGUAUUUAGGAGUAUUUGGGAUUUUUACUAAUAUAAUUUUAACUAUUUUAUUUAUUCCUUGCCUUGGC